AUUUCCCUCCCCAAAGUCAGUUUCCCAAUUCAAACCCACUUACCCCAUAAAAUUCCAGAUUUCCCUCCUAUCGAGCCAUUUUCAGUUUUUCACCCUCCAUCGAACCUCCACCGGCACCACCACCGCUGCGCAAUGCUAUUGCCGUCUUCGCUGAUCGUUGACCACCACAGCUUUCCUCUAAUCGAUUGCAUCCAAGUUGUUUGCAGGUUUCGAGAUGAAUGAGCCCGGGGCUAAACGCCUAAAAUUCAACAGGCCAGUUCAAUCGUGUUCUUUAUCUUUCAUUCUACAACCCAAAAUAAUUUCACUUCUUAUGCUAGUAUGGGGAUGGUCUCAUGGGGCAAAACUGUUUAUACAGGUAUUGUGAAUGGGUCAGCGGGUUAACGGGUCAGCGGGUGACGGGUCAGUGGGUGAACGGGUCAGUGGGUUAACGGCUCAGCGGGUGAACUGGUCACGGGUCAGUGGGUGGACGGGUCAGCAGGUCAGUGGGUUAACAGCUGAGCAGGUGAACUGGUCAACGGGUCAACUAGCCACUGGGUUAACAGGUCAGCGAGUAAACGAGUCAGCGGGUGAACUGGUUAGCGGGUGAACGGGUCAGCGAGUCUGUCGGAUAAGAUGAGGUUCUGAAGCGGUUACAUGUCGAACACAUGAUGUGCUUACGCGGGCCUUAGGACGCGGCAUGGGUAGAGAGAUCUAGUCAUUCGAUUCUCUGACUUGGUGAUAUUAUUUACAUAGUUUUUAAAAAAGGGGGAUGACAUCAUCCUAUUGUCCUAUAAUCCCGGGUUCUAUUAUCCAUCAAAAUAACUGUAUGUAAAGAAAGGCCUAUUAUCUUGAUUUGUUUUGACUGAAUUUUGGUUUAUGUUUUUUUGUAGAAAUUAAUGGUGUUGGCAGUAUUAAACCUGAAAACAACUACAUGCUAUUAUCUUGAUUCCCUAAGGCCUAGCAGUAUCAAUGAACAGUUGAGGAAAAUUAUUGAUAUAUAAGUAAUACAAAUUAUCAUAAGAGUUGGAAAUAUUCUUUGAUACAUUUUUUAUAGGGCAAUGGUCGUGUUUGCUGCACGAAGUGGUACUAGCAUGAGGGUUAAACUCAACUCGGUCAACGCUAGGUGUCCAUGUCAGCGAUGAAGUACUAAAUGUGGCUACUAUGUGAUGAAGUUCAUGAGAGAGAGAGCUUGCAAAGGAGUUGAAAUUUUGGAUAAUGACAAUGUUGGGAAAGGAGUAGAAGAAUACUCGGCUGCAUAUAUGGAUGGCAUUCGUGAAGAUUGGUCGACUUAUGCGGUUGUCACACCCCAACCAAUGGCGGAAACAUCGGGAUGAGACGAAGUGUGAAGAUUGCUAGAGACAUCAUAACGC
This is a long non-coding RNA of Helianthus annuus (common sunflower), 1349 nucleotides long. RefSeq lists it as uncharacterized. The record is from RefSeq and is a predicted model, not a curated record. The transcript has 5 exons. Lineage: Eukaryota; Viridiplantae; Streptophyta; Magnoliopsida; Asterales; Asteraceae.